AUGUGCCGUCAACCAUCGACACUUCACUUGUCUCCAGAUGAGCAGCUUGCUGCUGAAGAAACCUUCAAGUUGUACUGCAAGCCAGUUGAGCUCUGCAAUGUUAUCCAAAAACGAGCCCUUGAUAAUCCCGCUUUUCUGCAAAGAUGCCUUCAUUACAUGAUACAGGCAAGACACAAAAAGAGGAUUCAACUAACUGCAUCCCUCUCUCGAGGUACAAAUACUGAAUGGCCAGACCAGAAUAUCUUCCCCCUUUAUCUUCUGCUAGCCACACCUACUAGUGAUAACAUCCCACUAGAAGGGCAUUCUCCGAUAUAUCGAUUCAGUCAUGCCUGUUUGCUUACGUCAUUCAGUGAAUUGGAUAGUAAAGAACACUCCAAAGCCACAUUCAUAAUUCCAGAUGUCAAGAAUAUAGCAACCUCCCGAGCUUGCAACCUCAGCAUUAUCCUUAUCAGAUGUGAAGGGCAGGUUGGAGAAAAUAACUGCUCUGUGGAAGCAUCUGCUCUCCGAAAGCUUGAAGGGAAAUGUUUCUGGGGUAAAAUACCAAUUAAUUUACUUGGUUCGUCGUUGGAAAAUUGCGUGCCUUUAAAUUUGGGACAUACUGUGGAGUUGGCUUCUACAGUUACUAUGAGCCCAAGCUUCUUAGAGCCAAAAUUUCUGGAGCAGGACAGUUGCUUGACAUUUUGCUCCCAUAAGGUUGAUGCUACGGGUUCAUAUCAACUCCAAGUUGGCAUAUCCGUUCAAGAGGCUGGUGCAAGAGACAUGUCUGAAUCUCCCUAUAAUAGUUACUCAUACAGUGAUGUCCCACCUUCAUCAUUACCUCAUAUUAUAAGGUUAAGAGCUGGUAAUGUGCUUUUCAACUUCAAGUACUACAACAAUACUAUGCAAAAGACCGAAGUCACUGAAGAUUUUGCUUGCGCCUUUUGCUUGGUAAAGUGUGGAAGCUACAAGGGCCUGGGGUGUCACUUGAAUUCGACGCACGACCUAUUCCACUUUGAGUUUUGGAUAUCUGAAGAAUGCCAGGCUGUUAAUGUUAGUCUGAAGGCUGAUGCCUGGAAAAUGGAGCUUGUGGGCAAGGGAGUUGAUCCAAGACAUCAAACAUUUUCCUACUGCUCAAGGCUUAAGAUGCGUCGUCGAAGGUUGGUAGCCACAGCUGAGAAUAUAAGCCCCGUACAUCCACAUAUCAUGGAUUCAGGUUCGCCCGAAGAUGCCCAGGCACUGGCAGGGUCUAAAGACGAGUUUGUUCAGAGGGAAGAUGAUAAUAAUUCAGUAGCACUCGAUUCUGCCGAGCAUGAUCACUCAUUAAAUGGUAGCAACCUUACACCACUGACAGUACUAGAGUUUGGGAAGACAAGGAAACUAUCUGCGGAGCGAAGUGAUCCCAGAAACCGACAACUUCUGCAGAAACGUCAGUUCUUCCAUUCUCACAGGGCACAGCCAAUGGCAGUGGAACAAGUUUUGUCAGAUCAUGACAGCGAGGAUGAAGUUGACGAUGACAUUGCCGACUUGGAAGAUAGACGGAUGCUUGCUGAUUUUCUUGAUGUCACGAAAGAUGAGAAGCUUAUUAUGCAUAUGUGGAAUUCAUUUAUUCGGAAACAAAGGGUGCUAGCUGAUGGGCAUAUACCUUGGGCCUGUGAGGGCUUCUCCCGGCUUCAUGGACCGCAGCUUGUACAAAACCCUCCUCUGCUCUGGUGCUGGCGUUUCGUCAUGAUUAAGCUGUGGAACCACAGCCUGCUGGAUGCGCGCGCCAUGAACACAUGCAACACCAUUCUUGAGGGAUACCAACCCAAGAAGAAGAUGUUUUAA
This 1803-nucleotide ribosomal RNA is filed under the name Triticum aestivum (bread wheat). RNAcentral describes it as "partial small subunit ribosomal RNA". Lineage: Eukaryota; Viridiplantae; Streptophyta; Magnoliopsida; Poales; Poaceae. The record is from RNAcentral.